Molecule: ribosomal RNA, 253 nt
Filed under: uncultured bacterium
Lineage: Bacteria
Description: partial 16S ribosomal RNA
Rfam family: Bacterial small subunit ribosomal RNA
Source: RNAcentral
UACGUAGGGGGCAAGCGUUGUCCGGAAUCAUUGGGCGUAAAGCGCGCGUAGGCGGCCCUGUAAGUCCGUUGUGAAAGUCGAAGGCUCAACCUUCGAAAGCCGAUGGAUACUGCAGGGCUAGAGUCCGGAAGAGGCGAGUGGAAUUCCUGGUGUAGCGGUGGAAUGCGCAGAUAUCAGGAGGAACACCAAUAGCGAAGGCAGCUCGCUGGGACGAUACUGACGCUAAGGCGCGAAAGCGUGGGGAGUGAACAGG